Molecule: transfer RNA, 70 nt
Filed under: Acanthaster planci (crown-of-thorns starfish)
Lineage: Eukaryota; Metazoa; Echinodermata; Asteroidea; Valvatida; Acanthasteridae
Description: tRNA-Tyr
Rfam family: tRNA
About the family: Transfer RNA (tRNA) molecules are approximately 80 nucleotides in length. Their secondary structure includes four short double-helical elements and three loops (D, anti-codon, and T loops).
Source: Rfam by way of RNAcentral
GGCGAGAUGGCAGAGGUUAAUGUAGUGGAUUGUAAAUCCAAUAAGGAGGGUUUGAGUCCUUCUCUCGCCA